GAAGCACAGAUUAGCUGACAGCAUUUAUUCCCAGAAAGAAGAAAGAGGACAACAAGAAGGAAACAAAAUAAUUUACUCAGAUGUCAUCACAAUAAGUUUAACAAAAUAGACAGCAAUUGAUUUCAUCUCAACUUCUUUAUUACAAGGUGGUGCUAUUUCAGGAAGCUGCUGCUUACUGUGACAGGGUGCACUUGCUCUGUACUGGUACCGCAAGGGUUAACUCCACUCUCUGGGCAGAGGAGGCCAUGCCCCAUGACCCUGCUAGGCAUGCUCUGGCUGUAGACUAGGUAUAAAAGGGAGCAGCUCAGCUCAUUCAAGGCUGACCACCGAGGACAGAGGAUGCACGCUGCGAGUUCCAGCCCAGGAACUAUAGAAGCCCCUGACAGCAGAAGCCAGAGAUGCUGAGAUGUGGAGGACACCCCAGGAGUGGUGGAGCAGUUGGGAGCCAUACCGACUGAAGAGCCCAGAUCCCUUGGAGACGCUGCAACCCCGGCAUUAGAAACCGGUGAUGCUGGCUGUACCUUUCCCAGAUCUGAAGAAGAGCUCUAUGUGCCUUGAAAGCUUCUCUCUCUCACCAACAGAUGUUGGUCCGAUAAAAGAUAUUAUCUCACCCGCUUUGUCUCUUUAAUGGCAAAACACC
Mauremys reevesii (Reeves's turtle) is the source of this 640-nucleotide long non-coding RNA. RefSeq lists it as uncharacterized. Lineage: Eukaryota; Metazoa; Chordata; Testudines; Geoemydidae. The record is from RefSeq and is a predicted model, not a curated record. The transcript is spliced from 3 exons.